GCGGGCUGGACCUCUCGGGGUUACAGCCUUGCUGAAUUAUUCACCCUUGUCUUUUGCGUACUUCUUGUUUCCUUGGUGGGUUCGCCCACCACUAGGACAAACAUAAACCUUUUGUAAUUGCAAUCAGCGUCAGUAACAAAUUAAUAAUUACAACUUUCAACAACGGAUCUCUUGGUUCUGGCAUCGAUGAAGAACGCAGCGAAAUGCGAUAAGUAGUGUGAAUUGCAGAAUUCAGUGAAUCAUCGAAUCUUUGAACGCACAUUGCGCCCUUUGGUAUUCCAAAGGGCAUGCCUGUUCGAGCGUCAUUUGUACCCUCAAGCUUUGCUUGGUGUUGGGCGUCUUGUCUCUAGCUUUGCUGGAGACUCGCCUUAAAGUAAUUGGCAGCCGGCCUACUGGUUUCGGAGCGCAGCACAAGUCGCACUCUCUAUCAGCAAAGGUCUAGCAUCCAUUAAGCCUUUUUUUCAACUUUUGACCUCGGAUCAGGUAGGGAUACCCGCUGAACUUAAGCAUAUCAAAGCCCGGAGGAAAGAACAUUAACAAUUAUGAAGGCGGCUGGAACUCUCGGGGUUAAGCCUUGCUGAAUUAUUCCCCUUGUCUUUUGCGUACUUCUUGUUUCUUGGUGGGU
This 625-nucleotide ribosomal RNA is filed under the name Alternaria sp. HLJ_3. RNAcentral's name for it is "eukaryotic LSU rRNA". The stretch from base 152 to 305 matches the Rfam family "5.8S ribosomal RNA". RNAcentral also lists the same sequence under 1 other name. The record is from RNAcentral. Lineage: Eukaryota; Fungi; Ascomycota; Dothideomycetes; Pleosporales; Pleosporaceae.